This 24-nucleotide small RNA is filed under the name Arabidopsis thaliana (thale cress). Lineage: Eukaryota; Viridiplantae; Streptophyta; Magnoliopsida; Brassicales; Brassicaceae. The record is from RNAcentral.
GAGAUGAAUCAAUUCGAAAGCUGU